Molecule: ribosomal RNA, 393 nt
Filed under: uncultured bacterium
Lineage: Bacteria
Description: partial 16S ribosomal RNA
Rfam family: Bacterial small subunit ribosomal RNA
Source: RNAcentral
AUACGGAAGGUCCGGGCGUUAUCCGGAUUUAUUGGGUUUAAAGGGAGCGCAGGCGGCACUUCAAGCGUGACGUUAAAUUUCGGGGCUCACCCCCGUUAUGCGUCGCGAACUGUUGUGCUUGAGUAGGCGGCAGGGAGGCGGAAUUCGCGGUGUAGCGGUGAAAUGCUUAGAUAUCGCGAGGAACUCCGAUAGCGCAGGCAGCCUCCCGUUGCUUUACUGACGCUCAUGCUCGAAGGUGCGGGUAUCGAACAGGAUUAGAUACCCUGGUAGUCCGCACUGUAAACGAUGGAUGCCCGCUGUUGGGCCUUUUGGGUUCAGUGGCCAAGAGAAAUCGUUAAGCAUCCCACCUGGGGAGUACGCCGGCAACGGUGAAACUCAAAUGAAUUGACGGGG